UUCACAAUCAGACUCUACCUCCUCUGUUUUCUCUGCAAUUAUUUCUAGACCAGUUCCAAUAAAAAGAGCCAAUUUGGUGACCACUCCUGGCUUUUUGGAUUCAGCUGAAAAGAGGAAGUCACAUCCUUGUUUCUUUCUCGCGUGUUGUAGUCCCACAUGGAAGGUGAGUGAGGGCAGUAUGGCGGAGGCUCUACUCUAUAAAGCGAGGGAAGGGGCACGUUGAAACAUACUUACCUGGACGGGGUCGAUGGGUGAUCAACAAGGCCCAUGGCCUAGGUCAGUGACCUCCAUUGCACAUUAGGAGGGGUGCUGCCCUAAGGUCUGUCCAAUGUGGCAGAGCCUACGUCAUAAUUUGUGGUAGUGGGGGCCUGCGUCCGCGCGGCCCCUGUUCCAAUUCUAGUUUCAAUUUUUUCUCCUUCCGAAUUAUCAAACCAACGUCUUGUGUGCGUCGCUUGGGUUAUGCUCGCUGGUAAGCUGCUUGCCAAAAUGCCAUGACGGCUGCUGUUGGUUCAAGGCGAUUGUUGCUAGUAGUGUGGAUCAAGCUGAUCUUUUUCAUCCACCUGGCCUCGACGGACUACGUGCGAUAUACGAGAUCUAGUUUCGGGAGAAGGAGAGCCUCUUCCUCGAGAAUAUGGGUGUUUCCCACUUUGGGGGCUGGUGCAAGGGAUUUGUUCAAGUUGGAACAACGAAAACUAAAAUUUGGAGUUACAAAAACAUCUCUUUCGUUCACUAAAAUGCAAGAAAGAAACAAAGACCUAGUGAGAGGAGGUUUAAAUCAUGUGGGCAAUCUUUCAAAUGUUCCUCGGUAAUGUUUCAUCUGCUUCUUCUUCUGUACGAAGAAUGCAACCAGUGCUGUCAGAGAAACAUUAGUCUUCACUUUUCAUCACUUCUGCAACCAUGGGUCCUAUUUCAGUGAACUGACUUUGAUUUCCGAGGUAAUUGGAACCAAGGAUGUUUAACCCGAAUGGAUUGUGCAUGCGAUA
Molecule: long non-coding RNA, 983 nt
Organism: Carya illinoinensis
Lineage: Eukaryota; Viridiplantae; Streptophyta; Magnoliopsida; Fagales; Juglandaceae
Exons: 2
Source: RefSeq, a predicted model, not a curated record